GUGGGGAAUUUUGGACAAUGGGCGCAAACCUGAUCCAGCAAUGCCGCGUGCAGGAAGAAGGCCUUCGGGUUGUAAACUGCUUUUGUACGGAACGAAACGGUCCUGGUUAAUACCUGGGGCUAAUGACGGUACCGUAAGAAUAAGCACCGGCUAACUACGUGCCAGCAGCCGCGGUAAUACGUAGGGUGCGAGCGUUAAUCGGAAUUACUGGGCGUAAAGCGUGUGCAGGCGGGGCUGUAAGACAGGCGUGAAAUCCCCGGGCUCAACCUGGGAAUUGCGCUUGUGACUGCAGUGCUGGAGUACGGCAGAGGGGGAUGGAAUUCCGCGUGUAGCAGUGAAAUGCGUAGAUAUGCGGAGGAACACCGAUGGCGAAGGCAGUCCCCUGGGCCUGUACUGACGCUCAUGCACGAAAGCGUGGGGAGCAAACAGGAUUAGAAACCCUGGUAGUCC
Molecule: ribosomal RNA, 450 nt
Filed under: uncultured bacterium
Lineage: Bacteria
Description: partial 16S ribosomal RNA
Rfam family: Bacterial small subunit ribosomal RNA
Source: RNAcentral